AUAUAUACACUGCGCAGUCGAUCAGGGUUUAUACACUCACUAAUCGUCAACAGGACACUUCGUAUACAACUGCCACUGACAUAUCUGUAAUGGCUAAAGGCUACAUGACGAACUGCGAUCCUAUUCUAACCAAGCAGAUGGGACGAUUCCUCCGACAAGUGGGGGAUGAAAUGUACUUCGAUACGCUAAAGAAACGAAAUAUUCACGAUGGUGCUCAAAAUCAAUCCAGUCCACCAAGACUUCUCAAGUUUGGAAUGCGAGUUACACACAUCCUGUCACAGCUGUGGGAGUACACAGGGGGUUAAUAAGGUGACCAUUAGGCCUGCCGAACGCUGCCGGAUAACGACAUAUGGAUCACCUUGCAUCCGAAAAGCCUGGUAUCAUCGACAAAAGACCUAAGGAAAGACGAUGAAGUGACCGGAGGAUGCGGUAUGCAUUGAACGUUCCGUACCUGUGAUGACUACUAUGAUAUCCGCAUAGAAUCAACAGGCCGCAUAAGCAACAGAAAAUCGUCUAUUCUUUACCGGAGAGACCUGACCUUCUUCUGUGGAACAUUAGUCUGUGAAAAAUUAUCAAUUGAUAUUUGUGGAAGUUUCUUGUUCUUAAAUAGUGAUCACAGAUGGUAGACUACGAUAGAUACAAUGCCGCUAGUAACACAAUAUGUGAUUGUGAACAGUAAACGGCUAAUGAGUAAUGUGUAUUGUUACACAUACAAAUCCCGGACUGACACACGACAAUCUGAGUAAUAACAUUACGAAGACUUCUUUCAAGUACGGAAUGAAUAUUAACACUGUAUCGAUAUCCAUGUCUAGACAAUCACUAUUGAAUUAUUGUGCUAGGUAUCAUUAUGUGCUUGAUAACGGAAUAAAAUAUAGAAAUCGAG
Mizuhopecten yessoensis (Yesso scallop) is the source of this 883-nucleotide long non-coding RNA. RefSeq lists it as uncharacterized. The transcript is spliced from 2 exons. The record is from RefSeq and is a predicted model, not a curated record. Lineage: Eukaryota; Metazoa; Mollusca; Bivalvia; Pectinida; Pectinidae.